CAGAGUAUCACAUGAAAAAGGGUUACCACAAAUUCUGGGGGAUUUUCAAGGUUUUUUUGAUUAGUUUAUUUUCCAGAGAAGGGACAGUUCCCCCUUGGGUUUAUUGCCGUGUCAUUGUAACCGAAGACCUGAUACACCGUGAUUUGUUAUAAUGAAUCUCACCAUUUAUUAUCUCUAUGCUGUAAGCUAUGGCCACAUAUAUAAUCCAGAUCACCAGCUGGUAAAUCUACUUUCAUUAAACGAGGGACAUAGAUGUCAGGUUUUCACAGUAGUAGAACUGAUCAUGUUUCUAACAUGUUA
Molecule: non-coding RNA, 300 nt
Organism: Pelobates cultripes (western spadefoot toad)
Lineage: Eukaryota; Metazoa; Chordata; Amphibia; Anura; Pelobatidae
Source: the annotation of a GenBank genome assembly